RNAcentral lists this ribosomal RNA (692 nucleotides) under uncultured bacterium. RNAcentral describes it as "bacterial SSU rRNA". It matches the Rfam family "Bacterial small subunit ribosomal RNA", at positions 32 to 715 of the family's 1533-position model. The record is from RNAcentral.
AACGCUAGCUACAGGCUUAACACAUGCAAGUCGAGGGGCAGCAUAAAAGUAGCAAUACUUUGGUGGCGACCGGCGCACGGGUGAGUAACGCGUAUGCAACCUACCUAUCAGAGGGGGAUAACCCGGCGAAAGUCGGACUAAUACCGCAUAAAACAGGGGCACCGCAUGGUGAUAUUUGUUAAAAAUUUAUUGCUGAUAGAUGGGCAUGCGUUCCAUUAGGUAGUUGGAGAGGUAACGGCUCACCAAGCCCACGAUGGAUAGGGGAACUGAGAGGUUGGUCCCCCACACUGGUACUGAGACACGGACCAGACUCCUACGGGAGGCAGCAGUGAGGAAUAUUGGUCAAUGGGCGAGAGCCUGAACCAGCCAAGUCGCGUGAAGGAAGAAGGAUCUAUGGUUCGUAAACUUCUUUUGCAGGGGAAUAAAGUGCAGGACGUGUCCUGUUUUGUAUGUACCCUGAGAAUAAGGAUCGGCUAACUCCGUGCCAGCAGCCGCGGUAAUACGGAGGAUCCGAGCGUUAUCCGGAUUUAUUGGGUUUAAAGGGUGCGUAGGUGGUUUGAUAAGUCAGCGGUGAAAGUUUGCAGCUUAACUGUAAAAAUGCCGUUGAAACUGUCGGACUUGAGUGUAAAUGAGGUAGGCGGAAUGCGUGGUGUAGCGGUGAAAUGCAUAGAUAUCACGAAGAACUCCGAUUG